This 573-nucleotide ribosomal RNA is filed under the name uncultured bacterium. RNAcentral's name for it is "bacterial SSU rRNA". It matches the Rfam family "Bacterial small subunit ribosomal RNA", at positions 36 to 642 of the family's 1533-position model. The record is from RNAcentral.
CUGGCGGCGCGCUUACACAUGCAAGUCGCACGAGAAAGUGGAGCAAUCCAUGAGUACAGUGGCGUACGGGUGAGUAACACGUGGGUAAUCUACCUCUUAGUGGGGAAUAACCCUGGGAAACCGGGGCUAAUACCGCAUAAUCUCGAGAGAGGAAAGCAGCAAUGCGCUGAGAGAGGAGCCCGCGGCCGAUUAGCUUGUUGGCAGGGUAAAAGCCUACCAAGGCAUAGAUCGGUAGCCGGCCUGAGAGGGCACACGGCCACACUGGCACUGAAACACGGGCCAGACUCCUACGGGAGGCAGCAGUGGGGAAUCUUGCACAAUGGGGGAAACCCUGAUGCAGCGACGCCGCGUGAGCGAUGAAGCCCUUCGGGGUGUAAAGCUCUUUCGGCAGGGAAGAUGAUGACGGUACCUGCAGAAGCAGCUGCGGCUAACUACGUGCCAGCAGCCGCGGUAAUACGUANGCAGCGAGCGUUGUUCGGAGUUACUGGGCGUAAAGGGUGUGUANGCGGUUGUUUAAGUUUGGUGUGAAAUCUCCCGGCUCAACUGGGAGGGUGCGCCGAAUACUGAAUGACU